This 1422-nucleotide ribosomal RNA is filed under the name Triticum aestivum (bread wheat). RNAcentral's name for it is "partial small subunit ribosomal RNA". The record is from RNAcentral. Lineage: Eukaryota; Viridiplantae; Streptophyta; Magnoliopsida; Poales; Poaceae.
AUGGAGGUCGAUCGAUCAAUCGAACUGCCUGUGGUCGAACAAGAAGGAACGAUGCCGUCGGAGUUGGAUAUCAUGGAGGAGUACGUGGAGACGGUGAAGGAGCGGGAGUCGGAGGCGAAGCUCAAGGACGUGAACCUGGACGACUGGCUCCCCAUCACCUCCUCGCGCACCGCCAAGUGGUACUACUCGGCCUUCCACAACGUGACGGCCAUGGUGGGCGCCGGCGUGCUGGGCCUCCCGUUCGCCAUGUCGCACCUCGGCUGGGGCCCCGGCGUGGCGGUCAUCGCCAGCUCCUUCGGGAUCACGCUCUACACGCUGUGGCAGAUGGUGGAGAUGCACGAGAUGGUGCCCGGGAAGCGCUUCGACCGCUACCACGAGCUCGGGCAGCACGCCUUCGGGAAGAAGCUGGGGCUCUGGAUCAUCGUGCCGCAGCAGCUCGUCGUCGACGUCGGCACCGACAUCGUCUACAUGGUCACCGGCGGCCAGUCGCUCAAGAAGUUCCACGACCUCGUCUGCAACGGCCGCUGCAAGGACAUCCGCCUCACCUACUUCAUCAUGAUCUUCGGCUCCGUCCACUUCUUCCUGUCCCAGAUGCCCAACUUCAACUCCAUCUCCGGCGUCUCCGCCGCCGCCGCCGUCAUGUCCAUCUGCUACUCCAUGGUCGCCUUCUUCGCGUCUGUGCUACACAAACACCCUGCUGCAGUCGGGGCCGCCGUCGACUACGGGCUCAAGGCGGCGACCACGGCGGGGCACGUGUUCGGCGCGCUCAACGCGCUCGGGGCGGUGGCAUUCGCGUUCGCCGGCCACAACGUCGUGCUCGAGAUCCAGGCCACCAUCCCGUCCACCCCGGAGCAACCCUCCAAGAAGCCCAUGUGGCGCGGCGUGCUGGUUGCCUACGCCGUCGUCGCGCUCUGUUACUUCUCGGUGGCCUUCGGCGGGUACUACGCCUUCGGCAACUCGGUCGACCCCAACAUCCUCAUCACGCUCGACAAGCCGCGGUGGCUCAUCGCCCUCGCCAACCUCAUGGUCGUCGUGCACGUGAUCGGCAGCUACCAGGUGUUCGCGAUGCCGGUGUUCGACAUGAUGGAGACGGUGCUCGUGAAGAAGCUCAAGUUCAACCCCGGCCUGCCGCUCCGCCUCACCGCCCGCUCCGCCUACGUCGCGCUCACCAUGCUCGUCGGCAUGACCUUCCCCUUCUUCGACGGCCUGCUCGGGUUCUUCGGAGGCUUCGCGUUCGCGCCCACCACCUACUUCCUGCCAUGCAUCAUCUGGCUCAUGCUGCGCAAGCCCGCCAGAUACAGCGUCACAUGGUUCCUCAACUGGAUAUUCAUCGCCAUCGGAGUUGCGCUGAUGCUGCUGUCCCCCAUCGGUGGGUUGCGCCAAAUCAUCCUUGACGCCAAGACCUUCAAGUUCUACUCUUAA